Long non-coding RNA from Cyprinus carpio (common carp), 1040 nucleotides. RefSeq lists it as uncharacterized. The transcript is spliced from 3 exons. Lineage: Eukaryota; Metazoa; Chordata; Actinopteri; Cypriniformes; Cyprinidae. The record is from RefSeq and is a predicted model, not a curated record.
UGAAUUCACCACAGAAAAGACUUGCUGUGACAAAUAAGAAAGAAUUCACCUCAAGAACCUUUGGAUUAUUUAUGCAGCAGCUUGAUCAAGCAGAGAUCCUAAACACGAGGUAAACCUGAACAAUCCUUCCAACAGGCUGAAGGGAACACGGCUAGGUGGGUAGUUAUGGAUGAAUUGCCUCCAAAAGUGAUCAGCUAGCAGCUAACCUAUGCCUCUAUCUCUGUUGGCUCAGAAGCUCAGAAUCAUUGUAUGUCACUUGUGGAAGUGAAGAGUCCUGCCACCCCAUCAACAGGAUGUUGGGGGUGACUGGAUCGGGUCUGCGAUGUCUGAAGAUGUUUAAUCAAGGGGUUUAGCAUUAAGGAUUCCCUCAAUUUCAAUAAAAACAGUUUGCAGUACUCAUUCAGUGACUGUCUGUGCUCUGAGGGUCACUUGCUGGGCUGUUUUCAGAUAUCAAAUCUUCCACUCCCAACAUCCACCAAAAUGUUGGGCAUUAGGUGGGUUGAACGUAAAGUUUUUGAGGUUGAAGAGCAACAAAGGCAUCCUGAAGCUCCUUUUCCCCACCUUUGAAUUUCAUUCCCUGAUCUGAUAGGAUCUCAAAGGGUUUCCUUCGUCAAGCAAUGAAGCAACGAAGGGCUUUCAGGAAUGAAUCACUGUCCAUCCCAAGAUCAGUAUGCACUGCAUGGGUUGUCAUCUUUUCUCAGUUCGACCUCCUACUGUCGUGGAAAUUCUAAUUCAAUAACAAUUUGUAGAGACUAAGAAUGAAAAACCAAACAGAGCGUUGUCUUUGUAUUGCUUUAAUUCUCUGCAGAGAAUUAUCUUGUUUACACACAGCUUGAGUCUGUGUGCAAAGAGAUAACACAGACUCACAGCCCACUUUUUAUAGUAUGUAAAAAGAUACUGCCCGUCCCUGGUACACAGUUUCCCCUUAAAUGUUGUUUUUCAACCUAAAGCAGUUACGUGCACAAGUUACAUAAAAGAACUCAAUGUACCUAUGGACUAUAUACUACCUUGACCACUGUAUGUUUAAAAAGACACUUAAA